CCUACGGGGGGCAGCAGUGAGGAAUAUUGGUCAAUGGACGAGAGUCUGAACCAGCCAAGUAGCGUGAAGGAUGACUGCCCUAUGGGUUGUAAACUUCUUUUAUAUGGGAAUAAAAUGUUCCACGUGUGGGAUUUUGUAUGUACCAUAUGUAUAAGGAUCGGCUAACUCCGUGCCAGCAGCCGCGGUAAUACGGAGGAUCCGAGCGUUAUCCGGAUUUAUUGGGUUUAAAGGGAGCGUAGGUGGAUUGUUAAGUCAGUUGUGAAAGUUUGCGGCUCAACCGUAAAAUUGCAGUUGAAACUGGCAGUCUUGAGUACAGUAGAGGUGGGCGGAAGUCGUGGUGUAGCGGUGAAAUGCUUAGAUAUCACGAAGAACUCCGAUUGCGAAGGCAGUUCACUGGACUGCAACUGACACUGAGGCUCGAAAGUGUGGGUAUCAAACAGGAUUAGAUACCCUGGUAGUC
RNAcentral lists this ribosomal RNA (460 nucleotides) under uncultured bacterium. RNAcentral's name for it is "partial 16S ribosomal RNA". It matches the Rfam family "Bacterial small subunit ribosomal RNA", at positions 338 to 795 of the family's 1533-position model. The record is from RNAcentral.